GUGGGGAAUAUUGGACAAUGGGCGAAAGCCUGAUCCAGCCAUGCCGCGUGUGUGAAGAAGGUCUUCGGAUUGUAAAGCACUUUAAGUUGGGAGGAAGGGCAGUAAGUUAAUACCUUGCUGUUUUGACGUUACCGACAGAAUAAGCACCGGCUAACUUCGUGCCAGCAGCCGCGGUAAUACGAAGGGUGCAAGCGUUAAUCGGAAUUACUGGGCGUAAAGCGCGCGUAGGUGGUUUUGUAAGUUGGAGGUGAAAUCCCCGGGCUCAACCUGGGAACUGCCUCCAAAACUGCAUGACUAGAGUACGGUAGAGUGUAGUGGAAUUUCCUGUGUAGCGGUGAAAUGCGUAGAUAUAGGAAGGAACACCAGUGGCGAAGGCGACUACCUGGACUGAUACUGACACUGAGGUGCGAAAGCGUGGGGAGCAAACAGGAUUAGAUACCCCAGUAGUCC
Molecule: ribosomal RNA, 450 nt
Filed under: uncultured bacterium
Lineage: Bacteria
Description: partial 16S ribosomal RNA
Rfam family: Bacterial small subunit ribosomal RNA
Source: RNAcentral